RNAcentral lists this ribosomal RNA (424 nucleotides) under Gallus gallus (chicken). RNAcentral's name for it is "partial 12S ribosomal RNA". Lineage: Eukaryota; Metazoa; Chordata; Aves; Galliformes; Phasianidae. The record is from RNAcentral.
ACGGGUCCGUCACCUCAAGAACCGCUGGUCACCCUAACCACCGCCCGUCACCCUCACACACCGCCCGUCACCCUCACACACCGCCCGUCACCCUCACACACCGCCCGUCACCCUCACACACCGCCCGUCACCCUCACACACCGCCCGUCACCCUCACACACCGCCAGUCACCCUCACACACCGCCCGUCACCCUCACACACCACCCGUCACCCUCACAAACCGCCCGUCACCCUCCCAGUCCACGCGUCACCCUCAAGGUGGAACAAAUGGGCUACAUUUUCUAACAUCAAACAGACGAAAAAGGGCGUGAAACUCGCCCUUGGAAGGAGGAUUUAGCAGUAAAGUAAGACCAUACUUCUCUUAAGCCUACUUAAAGACGGCCCUGGGGCACGUACACACCGCCCGUCACCCUCAAAAAACGGC